This 427-nucleotide ribosomal RNA is filed under the name uncultured bacterium. Its description in RNAcentral is "bacterial SSU rRNA". It matches the Rfam family "Bacterial small subunit ribosomal RNA", at positions 917 to 1344 of the family's 1533-position model. The record is from RNAcentral.
GGGCCCGCACAAGCGGUGGAGUAUGUGGUUUAAUUCGAUGCAACGCGAAGAACCUUACCAGGGUUUGACAUCCUGCGAAUCUCUUGGAAACAGGAGAGUGCCUUCGGGAACGCAGUGACAGGUGGUGCAUGGCUGUCGUCAGCUCGUGUCGUGAGAUGUUGGGUUAAGUCCCGCAACGAGCGCAACCCACGUCUUUAGUUGCCAGCGAGUAAUGUCGGGAACUCUAGCCAGACUGCCGGUGCAAACCGCGAGGAAGGUGGGGAUGACGUCAAAUCAUCACGGCCCUUACGUCCUGGGCUACACACGUGCUACAAUGGUAGGGACAGAGAGCAGCCACUGGGCGACCAGGAGCGAAUCUACAAACCCUAUCACAGUUCGGAUCGCAGUCUGCAACUCGACUGCGUGAAGCUGGAAUCGCUAGUAAUCG